RNAcentral lists this ribosomal RNA (809 nucleotides) under uncultured archaeon. RNAcentral's name for it is "bacterial SSU rRNA". It matches the Rfam family "Archaeal small subunit ribosomal RNA", at positions 85 to 879 of the family's 1478-position model. The record is from RNAcentral.
ACGGCUCAGUAACACGUGGCUAACCCGCCCUUGGGACGAGAACAACCCCGGGAAACUGGGGCUAACUCUCGAUAGGCGAAGAACUCUGGAAUGAGUCUUCACCCAAACAGUUUAAGGUUAUGCUCUUUAAACUGCCCAAGGAUGGGGCCGCGACCGAUCAGGUUGUUGGUGAGGUAAUGGCUCGCCAAGCCUUUUACCGGUGCGGGCCGUGGGAGCGGGAGCCCGGAGAUGGGCACUGAGACAGGGGCCCAGGCCCUACGGGGCGCAGCAGUCGCGAAAACUUUGCAAUAAGCGAAAGCUUGACAGGGCUAUCCCGAGUGCCAUCCGCUGAGGAAGGCUUUUACCCAGUCUAGAACGCUGGGGGAAUAAGGAGAGGGCAAGUCUGGUGUCAGCCGCCGCGGUAAUACCAGCUCUCCGAGUGGUGUGGAUGUUUAUUGGGCCUAAAGCAUCCGUAGCUGGCUAGGUUAGUCCCCUGUUAAAUCCACCGAAUUAAUCGUUGGAUUGCGGGGGAUACUGCUUGGCUAGGGGACGAGAGAGGCAGACGGUAUUUCCGGGGUAGGGGUGAAAUCCUAUAAUCCCGGGAAGACCACCAGUGGCGAAGGCUGUCUGCUAGAACGCGCCCGACGGUGAGGGAUGAAAGCUGGGGGAGCGAACCGGAUUAGAUACCCGGGUAGUCCCAGCUGUAAACGAUGCAGACUAGGUGUUUGAACGGCCACGUGCCGUUCUAGUGCCGCAGGGAAGCUGUUAAGUCUGCCGCCUGGGGAGUACGAUCGCAAGAUUGAAACUUAAAGGAAUUGGCGGGGGAGCAC